GUCCACGCCCUAAACGAUGGGUGCUAGACGUCGGAACAUUAGUUUCGGUGUCGCAGCUAACGCGUUAAGCACCCCGCCUGGGGAGUACGGUCGCAAGAUUAAAACUCAAAGGAAUUGACGGGGACCCGCACAAGCGGUGGAGCAUGUGGUUUAAUUCGAGGCUACGCGAAAAACCUUACCAGCUCUUGACAUCCUGAUAGCUGCGCUUGUAAUGAGCGCUUCAUUUAGUUGGAUCAGAGACAGGUGCUGCAUGGCUGUCGU
Molecule: ribosomal RNA, 261 nt
Filed under: uncultured bacterium
Lineage: Bacteria
Description: partial 16S ribosomal RNA
Rfam family: Bacterial small subunit ribosomal RNA
Source: RNAcentral